UUGUGACAGACUCAUAAUGCUUAACAAUGCACAAAAAAUGUAGUUAGUUGGCGAUUUAAGGCUUUUUAUUAAUAUUAAAUAGUGGUAGUUUAAGGUAAGGUUAACUAGAAAUCCAAAAUGGUGGCUGCAAUGAUUUUACCUCAGAAAAUCAAAAUGGAGGACUUAGGCUGAACUGACCAAUAGCAUACAGGUUAGUGGAGUGAAGUAAAAUUCAGCAGGGUGAGAUUAAAUUCACUCCAAAAUAUCUGAAGGGAGAGGUCAGUCAAGUGAGAAGGAGGUUCUCAGCGAGGUCUGGCUCAAAUGACAUGUGAAGCUGAUUGGCCAAACAGGUAUCACCCCACCAGGAGGGGGCUAUGCUAAUUGCUAGCAUUGAGAGAGCAACCAUUCAGAAAGGGUCAAAAAUCUUAUAUAAGGCAGAGAGCUGACAGGCUUCAGUGUGGGUGUUUAGCAGUUGUAGCAGAUUGGGUGGAGCAGAUCAGAAAGUGGAGCUUGGAGAAGCAGGGAGAAGAAUCGAUCAAAGAGCUGAAAGCAUUUUGACAGAGCAGAAGGACCUAGACAAAUCAGAGAGAUUUGAAGAAGAGUAGGUCGACCAGUGCUGAUGUUACAGAGGAUUAUUAUAAAUGCAGAUGCAAAAUGAGGGGCAGGAGAAAUUAAGAAAUAAAAGAGGGCCAAAUCCUGAAGGCCUGACUCAAGCAAAGCUCAUACUGAGGUCCAUGUGCAAUCAUAAAAAGGUUGCCGUGCAGUGUGAACCUAAGAGCCAGUUUGCAGGGACGACUGGCAACAUGGAAUCCAGAAGUGAGAACAUCUCAAGCUGUUCAAGUUCUUCUCUCUCUGAAGCCUACAGCUGCUUCUGUUAAGGACAGCAGAGCUUUCUGCGAGCAUUACAGCUGGAGUAGAGAUGUUUCCAUCUGCACAACCGCAGGUGGCUGUACAAUUAACCGAGUGCAUUUCCAGAGCUGUGAAGAGCCAUCUAAUAAGAUCUCCAGCAUUGCUACUGUACAUCUGUUCAGGCUACAAUUAACUAGAAACAAAUCUGUUUUCUUUAAACUAAGUAUUUCAACUUGCAGACACGCCUGUUUCAACAAAAUUAAUGUCAUGCAUAUAUUAACAGUAAAUUAUUUGAGAGUGUGAACAAAAUGCUGCAUUGAACUACAGACCAAUAUCAUUUCAGUGAUACUAUGGUUGAAGUGUUUCUUUUAUAACUCCCUACUUUCAGUGCUUUGCA
Long non-coding RNA from Mauremys mutica (yellowpond turtle), 1225 nucleotides. RefSeq lists it as uncharacterized. The transcript has 3 exons. NCBI's taxonomy places the organism in Eukaryota, Metazoa, Chordata, Testudines, Geoemydidae. The record is from RefSeq and is a predicted model, not a curated record.